CAAGCUCCUCCUCCACUCUCUGCCUUGACAGGAGCUGAUGAAAGCUCUGCUCUACUCUCCUGGGAAGAACUAAUAGACUUUUGUCUUUUCAAAGAGGAUGACCAGCCUUUCCUUUUCUUAAAAUCUUCGGGGCCAGUUUUGCAGGUGAAAAUCAGGAAUGAGGAACAAGAAAGACCUGCCUCAGAAGCUGUACAUAAAAAUAACCACAAAGUCACACAAAACAACUGCAUGAAGGGACUGCGAUCCAGCUGUCAUGUCAUUCUGAUGGGGUUCGGAUGAUGUGACCAGCAACCUCUUCAUUCAGAUGCAUAAACAGCAACGUCUGACAGCUGAGUUACAGCACAUGGCAAAGGAGCUCUGAAUAAAGAACAGCCACCUGAAGCAGCUCCUGAACUCUACUCAUCAAAACUCCAGCGAGUGUGGCCGUAUGACAGUGCUCAUUGACGCAGUGCUGUAAAACCUGACCUCGCUGUCUGCUGAGAAGACCAAGCUGAGCUUGCUGCUGAAGAACACGUGGCAAGAAAACGCUCAGCUGAGCCUGGACCUGAUGAACACAUUGCAAAAAAAA
Molecule: long non-coding RNA, 568 nt
Organism: Acanthopagrus latus (yellowfin seabream)
Lineage: Eukaryota; Metazoa; Chordata; Actinopteri; Spariformes; Sparidae
Exons: 2
Source: RefSeq, a predicted model, not a curated record